UACGUAGGGUGCAAGCGUUGUCCGGAAUUAUUGGGCGUAAAGAGCUCGUAGGCGGUUUGUCGCGUCUGCUGUGAAAACUCGGGGCUUAACCCCGGGCCUGCAGUGGGUACGGGCAGACUAGAGUGCGGUAGGGGAGAAUGGAAUUCCUGGUGUAGCGGUGAAAUGCGCAGAUAUCAGGAAGAACACCCGUGGCUAAGGCGGUUCUCUAGUACGGUACUGACGCUGAGACGCGAAAGCGUGGGGAGCGAACAGG
This 253-nucleotide ribosomal RNA is filed under the name uncultured bacterium. RNAcentral's name for it is "partial 16S ribosomal RNA". It matches the Rfam family "Bacterial small subunit ribosomal RNA", at positions 524 to 776 of the family's 1533-position model. The record is from RNAcentral.